Oryza sativa Japonica Group (Japanese rice) is the source of this 480-nucleotide non-coding RNA. The record is from RefSeq and is a predicted model, not a curated record. Lineage: Eukaryota; Viridiplantae; Streptophyta; Magnoliopsida; Poales; Poaceae.
AAGUCGUGUGCUGCUUGCCUGCUCGAGUUGAUGAGAAGCUUGACACUUGACAGCAACCGAGGAGUGCAUAUGUGGUGCCUGCCACUUCGGAUCAGAGGAAAGUGACGGGUUGAAAGUAUUGCAGCGCCAACAGUUUGUACUACUAUCAACUCGGCCAGUUCGAGCUCGUGCUGAAAAAGAACAGUAUUGCUAGACUUUGGCAACUUCAGUUUCAGUGACGCAUGCUAGUCAUGGACUCGUGGCUAGAUCCCUCGUACAUGAAGCUUCUUCCAUUCUUUAUGCAACCACAGAGGCCACAGUUGCUAUCAAUACAAAUACUCUUCUCAUCCGCAAGGGGUCCUGGGAACCUCGUCCACUGCAGAAGCUGGUGGGACUGUUGGGCUCCAAAUAGAAAUAUGCCAGUGGCUUUUGCUACGAUUUUUACCUGGCAAAGGAGGAGAAGGUGCAGGAGCCGUUGAACGUGAGCCAUGGGACGCCGAG